UCCCAGACUCCUACGGGAGGCAGCAGUGGGGAAUAUUGCACAAUGGGGGGAACCCUGAUGCAGCGACGCCGCGUGAGUGAAGAAGUAUUUCGGUAUGUAAAGCUCUAUCAGCAGGGAAGAAAAUGACGGUACCUGACUAAGAAGCCCCGGCUAACUACGUGCCAGCAGCCGCGGUAAUACGUAGGGGGCAAGCGUUAUCCGGAUUUACUGGGUGUAAAGGGGGCGCAGACGGCAGCGCAAGCCAGGAGUGAAAGCCCGGGGCCCAGCCCCGGGACUGCUCUUGGAACUGCGCGGCUGGAGUGCAGGAGGGGCAGGCGGAAUUCCUGGUGUAGCGGUGAAAUGCGUAGAUAUCAGGAGGAACACCGGUGGCGAAGGCGGCCUGCUGGACUGCAACUGACGUUGAGGCCCGAAAGCGUGGGGAGCAAACAGGAUUAGAUACCCUAGUAAC
Molecule: ribosomal RNA, 448 nt
Filed under: uncultured bacterium
Lineage: Bacteria
Description: bacterial SSU rRNA
Rfam family: Bacterial small subunit ribosomal RNA
Source: RNAcentral